RNAcentral lists this ribosomal RNA (253 nucleotides) under uncultured bacterium. RNAcentral's name for it is "partial 16S ribosomal RNA". It matches the Rfam family "Bacterial small subunit ribosomal RNA", at positions 524 to 776 of the family's 1533-position model. The record is from RNAcentral.
UACGUAGGUGGCAAGCGUUGUCCGGAUUUACUGGGCGUAAAGGGCGUGCAGGCGGUUUGUUAAGUCUAGGGUGAAAGCUCCCGGCUCAACUGGGAGAGGUCCUUGGAUACUGGCAAACUUGAGGGAGGUAGAGGAGAGUGGAAUUCCCGGUGUAGUGGUGAUAUGCGUAGAUAUCGGGAGGAACACCAGUGGCGAAGGCGGCUCUCUGGGCCGAAACUGACGCUGAGGAGCGAAAGCAUGGGUAGCAAACAGG